Molecule: long non-coding RNA, 1518 nt
Organism: Alosa alosa (allis shad)
Lineage: Eukaryota; Metazoa; Chordata; Actinopteri; Clupeiformes; Clupeidae
Exons: 4
Source: RefSeq, a predicted model, not a curated record
ACAUUUCUAAUUUGGUGCCUUCUUGACCGAGAAAAGGCAGAAAAUUACUUUUUAGUGCUUGUGGAUUGCAGACAACAAUCCCCAUAGUGCAUUGCAAUGCUCAGCUCCGCAGGCCACUCCCACUGUCGAACUCAAUUGUUCAACUCCGCCCAUAAUCUGUCAACCAAGGCUCGACCGUUGAGCUCCACUCUACGCUACCUGGAAAUCAUUUCAAACAAUUUCUAGUGAAGACUUAGUUUGUGAACUCAUUAGUGAAUUACUCCUCGUUUGUGUUUCGAAAUGGUGUGCACUUGCAUGUUACCGGGAUGUUCAGCCAGCACAAGGAAAAUACACGGAAGUAAAUUUUUAUAGAUUACCCAAAGAGUUGGAGUUGUGCAAAAAGUGGCUACGGGCUAUCAAUAACCUGAAGUUCGGAGAGGACACAGCCAUUGAAGCACUAAAACAUCUGACGGUGUGCAGUCUACAUUUCAAGGCAGAAGAACCCCUUAAGAGUGAAGAGACCCGCGCUUGUGAAAACCGCAAUUCCGUCAAUAUUUACCUUGCCAGAUGAUGUCGACGAACAGCCAGGAACUUCUGGAACUAGCAGUGCUAGCUGCGCUAAACGCAUUUGCCUGGAGUCACCAUGCCCAAGUACAUCUGGCCUUGAUACCAGUGCCAGCACCCUUGAAGUUGGUGAAACGGGUGAAAGGCACUACAAAACAGGUGGAAGUGCAUUCCACACCAUGUGGUCAAUGAACAUCGAUGGACUGACACGGAUGGAAAGCGGCAUCACUGUGACCAUGCUCCUCUAACAGCUGAGGAGCAGAAGAAGAGGAUGUGGCCGGUGGCAUAUCAGGACCUGACGUCACUCGUCUUUGAUAAAAGGCUUUUGAAAGAUCUUCAGAAGAUGGCCCUCUUCAAACAUACUGGGCCACUGGAGAUCUUUCACAGAGCUCUCCUGAAGUACCUCCCUAAAUGCCAGGCCUUCUCCUACGAGGGAGAGGGCCUACCUCGCCAUCAUGGAACAUAAUGAGAACAUUGUGGCACGAGAACAAGCCACCACGGCAACAGGAGAACCACGCGUCAAGCAGGUCUUCUGCAAAAAGUCAAAGCAAUGGAUAGUCAAGAAAAUCUAUAAGCCACACACCACCAAGUUCAUCCAGACACUAAUUGAGAAGGUCAUAGAAAACAGACGCAACCCAAACAUAACAUUCAAGGACUCAACCGCUUCACUCACCCAACCACAACCUCCUUUGCCACCUAACAUUGCCCCUGUCCCAAAGCCGUCAAAGAAAGCUGCAACAUCAUCAUUCAAGAGCCGCUUCUGAGACGUCAGCUCUACAUUAACCCAUUCCUCACAAAUAUUUUGUAAUAUUACCAUGUCUUAUGUCUUUGUCUUAUAAUAUGGUCUUUUGACCUUAUCCUUGCACUACCUUUACCUGUUUGCACUGCCAUUGAGCACCUUACUAUACAUACUCAAUCACAGGGUCAAUACCUCUUUUUUUAUAGUGUGGAUCAUUUUGUUUGUGUGUUUUGAUG